UAGAGGGAGUGUUAGAGGAGUGUCAGAGGGAGUGUCAGAGGGAGUGUCAGAGGGAGUGUCAGAGGGAGUGUCAGAGGGAGUGUCAGAGGGAGUGUCAGAGGAGUGUCAGAGGGAGUGUCAGAGGGAGUGUCAGAGGGAGUGUCAGAGGGAGUGUCAGAGGGAGUGUCAGAGGGAGUGUCAGAGGGAGUGUCAGAGGGAGAGUCAGAGGGAGAGUCAGAGGGAGAGUCAGAGGGAGAGUCAGAGGGAGAGUCAGAGGGAGAGUCAGAGGGAGAGUCAGAGGGAGAGGGAGAGACCCAGGGACAGACCCAGGGACAGACGGAUCCGGGUGCUAAAGCUGCUGAGGUGGAACCACGAACUUCUGCUGCAGAGGUAGCCGUGUGUCUCAGUGGGGCGGAGCCAAGCCAAGCCACACCCUUGUAUCCCGUGGAGGUGGAGCAAAGCCAGGCCUCAGCAGAAACACCUUCCUCAGACUGACCACUGGACCACAGUGCCCAUGGCCUCCACCCAUCAGUGAGCGCUGGGACGUACCUGGGAUGUGGAACAGCUUGUGACAGGCUGGGGUGUGCGUCAGUCUGAAGCCUGUUUUUAAAGACCGUGAUCAUGAUCUAUCAUUUUGCAGAUUGUUUUGUAACAUUUUGUUGGCUCAGUAUAAGCCCUGCCCUGCUGUGGCCAGCAGGUGUACAGUGGAUUGGGAAGGCCGUGCUUUGUUUCUGAUGCUACCUUUCUUUGAUGAUUUUUUUAUGUUUUAAGAAGCCAUGAUUGUGUAAUACAUGGGUUUAUCCAGUAGGAGCUGUUGACCUGAUUUGUCAAUCAUGUACAGUCUUUUAAUGCAGCUGCUCGAUACUGAUCAUGUGCACAACUGUUAGUGACACUGCCUCCUGAACGGGCCAUAUGCAAACAGGCCCUGUGAAGAUGUGUUUUAACUGUAUCAUAAACAUUCCACACUUGAAUGAUGUGUGAAUCUGUGGGCCUCCAGAGUUCAUCUAUAAAGCCUCUGAUCAGCAAUGAACUGUACAAUUGUGAAUUGCUGCUGUAGCAGCACAAUAAAGCUUUGGUUUGUUUUUGAUUUUAUCAAAUGUUCCAUUGUUUUCUCUUUAUGUUGCAGUAUUUUCUAUUAUUGGGCCAAAAAUUGAUACAUUUGGGCGGUAUGGUGGCACAGUGGUUAGCGCUCACGCUUCUAUGCAAGUUUCCCCUUACCACUAGAACAUGUACAAUAGGUUAAAACUCCAGUCAGGUGUUUCUGACCAUUAGCCUGGCCCAUCUGGAGAUGGGUCCCGAGGCGCCACACUCGGAGGCGUAGUUUGCCAUAAGGCAAGGCAGGCAGCUGCCUGGGGCCCCAAGCCAGCAGGGGGCCUGUGACGUUUGUCCUGUCACGGAAGCCCUACUGCGUUCUGGAGGAUAAAGCAGAGCUGAGGCGUUUUUUCUGUGCAGACCAAAGUGCCAUUUAUUCACAAAUGUACACACUAUUAUUAUUAUUAUUAUUAUUAUUAUUAUCAAUUAUCUUGAUAAAACAGUGAGAAUUACUUCAACAAUAUAAUCUUUAUUAACUCGGCAGUGAAUUCCUAAUUUAAAAAUAUACUCCGUUAAUAAAGCUAAAAAAUCCAGGACACCCCUCCCGUUCUGGCAGAGUGGAUGAACCCGGAACCCUCCCUAGGUGCUCCGGCUCUCUGGGGACUCUUUUGGCUGGAACACCUACAGAGAGAACAAAGCAAAGUUGCAAUUCUUCAAUAAAAACACUCAUGUAAUGGACCCCACUCCAUGACAGGGCUCCAGAGGGCCAACAGAUUUGACAGAAAUGACCAUGUCAUGGAGUGAUGUCCAUUACAUGGGGGAAAAGGGUUGUGGUGCAGACAUACACAUUUUAGAGUGUUUUUAUUGAUGAAUUGUAAUGUCGCUUUGUUCUCUCUGUAGGUGUUCCGGCCAAAAGAGUCCCCAGAGAGCCGGAGCACCUACGGAGGGUUCCGGGUUCAUCCACUCUGCCCGAACGGAAGGGGUGUCCUGGAUUUUUUAGCUUUAUUAAACAUAGUAUAUUUUUAAAUUAGGAAUUCACUGAGUUAAUAAAGAUUAUAUUGUACUGUAGUAGUUCUCACUGUUAUAUCAAGAUAAUUGGAAUGUCUGUAAUGUAUUUUGUACUUAAUGGUAUGUUCCAAUUAUGACCACUUGCUAUAAAAGCGGCCUACUCACUCUGCCUAGGGUGGGUGCUGCAUGGCAUGUGGUCAGGCAUGGUUUUUAAACUCUUUUUGUUGUAAAUUUGUGAUAAUAAACAGUACUUGGGUCUGCACA
Long non-coding RNA from Neogobius melanostomus (round goby), 2283 nucleotides. Lineage: Eukaryota; Metazoa; Chordata; Actinopteri; Gobiiformes; Gobiidae. The record is from Ensembl.